UGGAUAAUUGAUCCUACUCAUUUGUCUUGGUGAACAAGGGUUGGUUUCAUGAGAAUGAAAGAAGGGUUUCCAAAGCAUUUUUUCUACCUAUCACUCAAAAACAGGAACCUGAUCAUUAUGCAAAAUCUAUCUAAGAAAGGAAGCAACUGAUGCAUACAUAGAUUGGUUCUCAUCCUUCUACCCUUUUCUAGGUGACAUUAAACUCCACAAAACCCCUUUUUCACCCGAUAAACAUUCUUGCUCUCUCUUUUUCUUUUUCUUUUUCUUUUAACCACUAGGGACUCAAUAUCUUUCUCAACACUUAGCUCUAACUUUUCCUUAUUCACUCUUUUUUUUUUAUAAUUUUUUUUUUUAACAACACUUUUCUUAUCUAGAGCUUUCUCUCAUUAACCUCUCUUGUCCCUAAGGUCUUUCUAUCUUCUGACUUCUCUUUAGACAUUUUUAUCCUUUUUUUUUUCACUUCCCAAACCCAAGAUAAAAGAACUUAGAGUACACAAACUCACCCACCAUCCUAGAUGCUAGCUCAAAUGAGGUUCCUAUUGCUAGCCAAAGAUGAGA
RNAcentral lists this long non-coding RNA (558 nucleotides) under Brassica napus (rape). RNAcentral's name for it is "long non-coding RNA (BNAP_LNC026972)". Lineage: Eukaryota; Viridiplantae; Streptophyta; Magnoliopsida; Brassicales; Brassicaceae. The record is from RNAcentral.